AAAAAAAUCAUAGAACUAAUGUAACUAAUAUACUAGUUGCCUAUUGGUAAUUCUGGAAAACACUAAUAAAGUUGAGGCCACAACAGACUUUCCCAAACAUGCAUUAGGAUAGCAUUCGCUUCAAAGUCUUAGUAAAUUACAAGCACAAGUAGAGAGUACAUAAAGGUCAUUAAUAUAAAACAUUAGAUUCAUGCAGUUGAGAAAAUUAACUCUUAGAUUAAUUCUGCUCAUACAAAAGGAGAAGGGAUGAGCUAUUGGCCAGUUUGGUUGCCAGUCAAACUGAAUAGACCGGAACCAUCAGAAUAUAGAACUGAACUGACACCAAUUUUAUUAAUGAACUACACUGAAUCAAACAGAAAAUUUUGGUUUGGUGCAGUUUUGAACUGUGAAAAUUUCAGCUCCACGAAAAUGAAUCCCUCUCCUUUAUGCCAAAGAUUAAAAUCUGAUAAAGUAAAAUCUUAAAAACAAUAAUAAAAUAAACAUAAAUUACAAACAAUUUCUCCAUAAAUUUUAAAAAAAAAAUUUCAAAUCAGAUCUAGCCACAGGAUUACAUAUCUGAAGGAUAAAGAAUAAGUAGUGAAUAAAAAAAGGAGAUAUGGAUUUAAAUGAUAUAAACGAUGGGGCGUUCUCAACUUACGACACGCUACAUCGGAGCCCGAGUGCAGUGAGAAAUAUGCAAGGGUAUAG
RNAcentral lists this unclassified non-coding RNA (687 nucleotides) under Hevea brasiliensis (rubber tree). Lineage: Eukaryota; Viridiplantae; Streptophyta; Magnoliopsida; Malpighiales; Euphorbiaceae. The record is from RNAcentral.